Molecule: unclassified non-coding RNA, 146 nt
Filed under: soil metagenome
Description: partial internal transcribed spacer 1
Source: RNAcentral
UAAUAAGUGUUUUAUGGCACUUUUUAAAUCCAUAUCCACCUUGUGUGCAAUGUCGGUCGAUCUUCUUCUUUGAGGAUCGACCAAACAUCAACCUUUAUCUUUUAACUCUUUGUCUGAAAAAUAUUAUGAAUAAACAAUUCAAAAUA